This 457-nucleotide ribosomal RNA is filed under the name uncultured bacterium. RNAcentral's name for it is "bacterial SSU rRNA". It matches the Rfam family "Bacterial small subunit ribosomal RNA", at positions 923 to 1379 of the family's 1533-position model. The record is from RNAcentral.
GCACAAGCGGUGGAGCAUGUGGUUUAAUUCGAAGCAACGCGAAGAACCUUACCAGGUCUUGACAUCCUCUGACAAUCCUAGAGAUAGGACUUUCCCCUUCGGGGGACAGAGUGACAGGUGGUGCAUGGUUGUCGUCAGCUCGUGUCGUGAGAUGUUGGGUUAAGUCCCGCAACGAGCGCAACCCUUAUUCUUAGUUGCCAGCAUUAAGUUGGGCACUCUAAGGAGACUGCCGGUGACAAACCGGAGGAAGGUGGGGAUGACGUCAAAUCAUCAUGCCCCUUAUGACCUGGGCUACACACGUGCUACAAUGGAUGGUACAAAGGGCUGCAAAACCGCGAGGUCAAGCCAAUCCCAUAAAACCAUUCUCAGUUCGGAUUGUAGGCUGCAACUCGCCUACAUGAAGCCGGAAUCGCUAGUAAUCGUGGAUCAGCAUGCCACGGUGAAUACGUUCCCGGGC